This 96-nucleotide transfer RNA is filed under the name Periphyllus lyropictus (Norway maple aphid). RNAcentral's name for it is "tRNA-Val". The record is from RNAcentral. Lineage: Eukaryota; Metazoa; Arthropoda; Insecta; Hemiptera; Aphididae.
UAAAUAUCUAAAAUUUAAGUAUAUCAUUUACAAUGAUAAGAUGUUAUAAAAACUUUAUUUAUAAUUAAUUUUAUUAAUUAAGUUGUUUUUAUUUAG